RNAcentral lists this ribosomal RNA (359 nucleotides) under Pseudoalteromonas ruthenica. RNAcentral's name for it is "partial 23S ribosomal RNA". It matches the Rfam family "Bacterial large subunit ribosomal RNA", at positions 2090 to 2447 of the family's 2925-position model. Lineage: Bacteria; Pseudomonadati; Pseudomonadota; Gammaproteobacteria; Alteromonadales; Pseudoalteromonadaceae. The record is from RNAcentral.
CCCCGGAACCUUUACUACAGCUUGGCACUGAACAUUGAGCCUACAUGUGUAGGAUAGGUGGGAGGCUUUGAAGUGGUUACGCCAGUAAUCAUGGAGCCAUCCUUGAAAUACCACCCUUGUAUGUUUGAUGUUCUAACGUUGGCCCCUGAAUCGGGGUUGCGGACAGUGCCUGGUGGGUAGUUUGACUGGGGCGGUCUCCUCCCAAAGAGUAACGGAGGAGCACGAAGGUUGGCUAAGUUCGGUCGGACAUCGGAAGGUUAGUGUAAUGGUAGAAGCCAGCUUAACUGCUAGCCAGCCAAGUGGAGCUGAUACGCAAAGAGCUCAUGGUGGUGCGGGUGUGCUGAAUUGACGGGGCGUCG